Molecule: ribosomal RNA, 253 nt
Filed under: uncultured bacterium
Lineage: Bacteria
Description: partial 16S ribosomal RNA
Rfam family: Bacterial small subunit ribosomal RNA
Source: RNAcentral
UACGGAGGGUGCGAGCGUUGUUCGGAAUCACUGGGCGUAAAGCGCGUGUAGGCGGCUUCUUAAGUCUGGUGUGAAAGCCCGGGGCUUACCCCCGGAAGGGCACUGGAGACUGGGGAGCUAGAGUACCGGAGAGGAAGGUGGAAUUCCUGGUGUAGCGGUGAAAUGCGUAGAUAUCAGGAGGAACACCGGUGGCGAAGGCGGCCUUCUGGACGGAUACUGACGCUGAGACGCGAAAGCGUGGGGAGCAAACAGG